CCAGGUUCAUUGAACCCGCACAGACCCUUUCAUGCAUGUGUUUCUGAUUCUGAUUUCAUGCGCUGACAUCACUGAAACGGUAUGCCCGGGGUUAGUCUCAUGACCACCGAGCUGGGAGCGCAGGAAUUUUGGUGCCAGAAAAAUUAGAUAAUGUGGGACAUACUGACUUUGCUCUCCAGUUUCCAAAUCCUCCUGGGACACUUCUGAGCCUGCCGGAGGCUGUGGUCCUUGUCACUCACGUACAGGGAGGAUCGGGCCGCCGUCCCGGUCACCAGGACACCCCUCAUCCUCCAAGUCUCAGUCUGGACAAAGCUGUGUCUGACUCCUGCCCUCGGCAGCCUUGGAAGCCCCAGAUGAUCCCAGAAGCCCCUCUGCUAUGACACUCGCGACCUUGUAUUGCUAUUAUCUCCCUCUGUCUUCCCAGGGGUGAGUGUUCUUCAUGCUGGAUGCCGAGGACGGACCCUCAAAGCUGGUGUAAUUGAAACCAACCCUCUAAAUGCUUGUUCAUUCCUGGGGGAAAUUAAAGGUGAUUUCAAGCAGGAAGAUCACAGAUUUCAGAAAAAGGGCCUGGGGGGCUGCACUGUGGACUGGACGGCUGGGCUGCUGGAGCCCCGUUCGGGGAGAUUAGCUGCAGCCGAUUGCACUUUCCGGAGGGAGGGCCGGCCUCGUGGGGAGACCCCUGCCCUCCUGGCCCCCCUCCACUCGGCAGAGGUAAGGAGGCCCGCCAGCUUCAGGGCUUGCUGCCCGCGGCCCCCCACCCCAGAAAGAGCCAAGGUGGAGUCAGGGAUCAGAGCAGGCACCCAGCUCAGACCGGGCUCCCUGAAAGCCCCCCCAGCCUGUGUGGGGGGGUGGGGGGAGCCUGGGCCAGGAGGGCAGACAAGGGAGGAGGCCCAGCGAAAAGCCCCCUGGUAGCCUCAUUCAGGUGCUGGGCGACCUCGGACCAGUCUUCUCUAAACCUCUGUGCCUCAGUUUCCUCAGCUGUACAGAAAAAAUGGAACCGGUACCCGAGAGCUGCGGGGCGGGUUGCAUUAAAUGCGGUGACGCCCGUGACGCCCUCAGGGUCCGGACCAUUCGGGGAACAACAGAUACUGAUGGAAUGUGAAUUGGCAUCCCAGCAGCUGAGGGAAAGAGCCCUUGAUUAAACACAGGGACUCGGCCAGGACACUCAUUUUCCGUAGAAGGUGAGGGCAGGCUCCACACGCGCCUUAGAAACAAAAGCUAACUUUU
Herpailurus yagouaroundi (jaguarundi) is the source of this 1227-nucleotide long non-coding RNA. RefSeq lists it as uncharacterized. The transcript is spliced from 3 exons. Lineage: Eukaryota; Metazoa; Chordata; Mammalia; Carnivora; Felidae. The record is from RefSeq and is a predicted model, not a curated record.